Molecule: ribosomal RNA, 253 nt
Filed under: uncultured bacterium
Lineage: Bacteria
Description: partial 16S ribosomal RNA
Rfam family: Bacterial small subunit ribosomal RNA
Source: RNAcentral
UACGGAGGGUGCAAGCGUUGUCCGGAUUCAUUGGGUUUAAAGGGUGCGCAGGCGGGACAUUAAGUCAGGGGUGAAAGACGGUUGCUCAACAAUCGCAGUGCCUUUGAUACUGGUGUUCUUGGGUAACCUUGAGGUAGGCGGAAUGGGUGGUGUAGCGGUGAAAUGCGCAGAUAUCAGGAGGAACACCAGUGGCGAAGGCGGCGAUCUGGGAAGAUACUGACGCUGAGGUGCGAAAGCGUGGGGAGCAAACAGG